RNAcentral lists this ribosomal RNA (512 nucleotides) under uncultured bacterium. RNAcentral describes it as "bacterial SSU rRNA". It matches the Rfam family "Bacterial small subunit ribosomal RNA", at positions 29 to 518 of the family's 1533-position model. The record is from RNAcentral.
AGCGAACGUUAGCGGCGGGCCUAACACAUGCAAGUCGAACGCGAAAGGUCUUCGGACUGAGUAGAGUGGCGCACGGGUGAGUAACACGUAGGUAAUCUACCCUUUGGCGGGGGAUAACGUUCCGAAAGGAGCGCUAAUACCGCAUAAGACCACGGAGUCUCCGGACGCUGUGGGAAAAGGUGGCCUCUUCUUGAAAGCUACCACCGAAGGAUGAGCCUGCGUCCCAUCAGCUAGUUGGUAAGGUAAUGGCUUACCAAGGCGAAGACGGGUAGCUGGUUUGAGAGAAUGAUCAGCCACACUGGCACUGGAACACGGGCCAGACUCCUACGGGAGGCAGCAGUGAGGAAUAUUGGGCAAUGGGCGAAAGCCUGACCCAGCCACGCCGCGUGAGUGAUGAAGGCCCUCGGGUCGUAAAGCUCUGUGGAGAGGGACGAAAACCCUGGUUUCAAAUAGGCUCCAGGCUUGACGGUACCUCUUUAGCAAGCACCGGCUAACUCUGUGCCAGCAGCCGC